UACGUAGGGUGCGAGCGUUGUCCGGAAUUAUUGGGCGUAAAGAGCUCGUAGGCGGUUUGUCACGUCUGCUGUGAAAUCCCGAGGCUCAACCUCGGGCCUGCAGUUGAUACGGGCAGACUAGAGUUCGGUAGGGGAGACUGGAAUUCCUGGUGUAGCGGUGAAAUGCGCAGAUAUCAGGAGGAACACCGGUGGCGAAGGCGGGUCUCUGGGCCGAUACUGACGCUGAGGAGCGAAAGUGUGGGGAGCGAACAGG
RNAcentral lists this ribosomal RNA (253 nucleotides) under uncultured bacterium. RNAcentral describes it as "partial 16S ribosomal RNA". It matches the Rfam family "Bacterial small subunit ribosomal RNA", at positions 524 to 776 of the family's 1533-position model. The record is from RNAcentral.